AAGCAUAUCAAUAAGCGGAGGAAAAGAAACCAACAGGGAUUGCCCCAGUAACGGCGAGUGAAGCGGCAACAGCUCAAAUUUGAAAUCUGGCUUCGGCCCGAGUUGUAAUUUGCAGAGGAUGUUUAUGGUGCGGUACCUUCCGAGUUCCCUGGAACGGGACGCCACAGAGGGUGAGAGCCCCGUCUGGUUGGAUACCAAACCUGUGUUAAACUCCUUCAACGAGUCGAGUAGUUUGGGAAUGCUGCUCUAAAUGGGAGGUAAAUCUCUUCUAAAGCUAAAUACCGGCCAGAGACCGAUAGCGCACAAGUAGAGUGAUCGAAAGAUGAAAAGCACCUUGAAAAGGGGGUUAAACAGUACGUGAAAUUGUUGAAAGGGAAGCGUUUAUGACCAGACUUGUGUCGUGUGGCUCAUCCGAGGUUCUCCCCGGUGCACUCCACACGGCUCAGGCCAACAUCGGUUCUCGUCGGGGGAUAAGAACAGUAGGAACGUGGCCCCCCUCGGGGGGUGUUAUAGCCUACUGUACGAUACCUUGAUGGGGACCGAGGACCGCGCUUCGGCUAGGAUGUUGG
RNAcentral lists this ribosomal RNA (569 nucleotides) under Discula destructiva. RNAcentral describes it as "LSU rRNA". It matches the Rfam family "Eukaryotic large subunit ribosomal RNA", at positions 36 to 629 of the family's 3401-position model. Lineage: Eukaryota; Fungi; Ascomycota; Sordariomycetes; Diaporthales; Gnomoniaceae. The record is from RNAcentral.